CCUACGGGAGGCAGCAGUGGGGAAUAUUGGGCAAUGGGCGCAAGCCUGACCCAGCAACGCCGCGUGAAGGAAGAAGGCUUUCGGGUUGUAAACUUCUUUUGUCAGGGACGAAGCAAGUGACGGUACCUGACGAAUAAGCCACGGCUAACUACGUGCCAGCAGCCGCGGGAAUACGUAGGUGGCAAGCGUUAUCCGGAUUUACUGGGUGUAAAGGGCGUGUAGGCGGGGUGGCAAGUCAGAUGUGAAAACCACGGGCUCAACCUGUGGCCUGCAUUUGAAACUGUUUUUCUUGAGUGCUGGAGAGGUAAUCGGAAUUCGGUGUGUAGCGGUGAAAUGCGUAGAGAUACGGAGGAACACCAGUGGCGAAGGCGGAUUGCUGGACAGUAACUGACGCUGAGGCGCGAAAGCGUGGGGAGCAAACAGGAUUAGAUACCCCGGUAGUC
RNAcentral lists this ribosomal RNA (443 nucleotides) under uncultured bacterium. Its description in RNAcentral is "partial 16S ribosomal RNA". It matches the Rfam family "Bacterial small subunit ribosomal RNA", at positions 338 to 795 of the family's 1533-position model. The record is from RNAcentral.